Molecule: ribosomal RNA, 497 nt
Filed under: uncultured bacterium
Lineage: Bacteria
Description: partial 16S ribosomal RNA
Rfam family: Bacterial small subunit ribosomal RNA
Source: RNAcentral
GGUGAACGCUGGCGGCGUGCCUAAUACAUGCAAGUCGAGCGAACAGACGAGGAGCUUGCUCCUCUGACGUUAGCGGCGGACGGGUGAGUAACACGUGGAUAACCUACCUAUAAGACUGGGAUAACUUCGGGAAACCGGAGCUAAUACCGGAUAAUAUAUUGAACCGCAUGGUUCAAUAGUGAAAGACGGUUUUGCUGUCACUUAUAGAUGGAUCCGCGCCGCAUUAGCUAGUUGGUAAGGUAACGGCUUACCAAGGCAACGAUGCGUAGCCGACCUGAGAGGGUGAUAGGCCACACUGGAACUGAGACACGGUCCAGACUCCUACGGGAGGCAGCAGUAGGGAAUCUUCCGCAAUGGGCGAAAGCCUGACGGAGCAACGCCGCGUGAGUGAUGAAGGUCUUCGGAUCGUAAAACUCUGUUAUUAGGGAAGAACAAAUGUGUAAGUAACUAUGCACGUCUUGACGGUACCUAAUCAGAAAGCCACGGCUAACUACGUG